AAAGCGUGCGCAGGUGGUUUUGUAAGACUGUCGUGAAAUCCCCGGGCUCAACCUGGGAAUGGCGAUGGUGACUGCAAGGCUAGAGUUUGGCAGAGGGGGGUAGAAUUCCACGUGUAGCAGUGAAAUGCGUAGAUAUGUGGAGGAACACCGAUGGCGAAGGCAGCCCCCUGGGUCAAAACUGACGCUCAUGCACGAAAGCGUGGGGAGCAAACAGGAUUAGAUACCCCAGU
This 230-nucleotide ribosomal RNA is filed under the name uncultured bacterium. RNAcentral describes it as "partial 16S ribosomal RNA". It matches the Rfam family "Bacterial small subunit ribosomal RNA", at positions 562 to 791 of the family's 1533-position model. The record is from RNAcentral.